CUGGGGGACGCGUGAGCGCGAGC
This 23-nucleotide microRNA is filed under the name Homo sapiens (human). RNAcentral's name for it is "hsa-miR-4665-5p". Lineage: Eukaryota; Metazoa; Chordata; Mammalia; Primates; Hominidae. The record is from miRBase by way of RNAcentral.